GACGAACGCUGGCGGCGUGCUUAACACAUGCAAGUCGAACGGAAAGGCCCUGCUUUUGUGGGGGGCUCGAGUGGCGAACGGGUGAGUAACAAGUGAGUAACCUGCCCUUGACUUUGGGAUAACUUCAGGAAACUGGGGCUAAUACCGGAUAGGAGCUCCUGCUGCAUGGUGGGGGUUGGAAAGUUUCGGCGGUUGGGGAUGGACUCGCGGCUUAUCAGCUUGUUGGUGGGGUAGUGGCUUACCAAGGCUUUGACGGGUAGCCGGCCUGAGAGGGUGACCGGCCACAUUGGGACUGAGAUACGGCCCAGACUCCUACGGGAGGCAGCAGUGGGGAAUAUUGCACAAUGGGCGGAAGCCUGAUGCAGCAACGCCGCGUGCGGGAUAACGGCCUUCGGGUUGUAACCCGCUUUCGCCUGUGACGAAGCGUGAGUGACGGUAAUGGGUAAAGAAGCACCGGCUAACUACGUG
RNAcentral lists this ribosomal RNA (468 nucleotides) under uncultured bacterium. RNAcentral's name for it is "partial 16S ribosomal RNA". It matches the Rfam family "Bacterial small subunit ribosomal RNA", at positions 28 to 507 of the family's 1533-position model. The record is from RNAcentral.